UACGAGGGGGGCAAAUGUUGUUCGGAAUUACUGGGCGUAAAGGGCGCGUAGGCGGCCAGCACAAGUCAGUUGUGAAAUCUCCGGGCUUAACUCGGAAAGGUCAACUGAUACUGUGCGGCUAGAGUGCGGAAGGGGCAACUGGAAUUCUCGGUGUAGCGGUGAAAUGCGUAGAUAUCGAGAGGAACACCUGCGGCGAAGGCGGGUUGCUGGGCCGACACUGACGCUGAUGCGCGAAAGCCAGGGGAGCGAACGGG
RNAcentral lists this ribosomal RNA (254 nucleotides) under uncultured bacterium. RNAcentral describes it as "partial 16S ribosomal RNA". It matches the Rfam family "Bacterial small subunit ribosomal RNA", at positions 524 to 776 of the family's 1533-position model. The record is from RNAcentral.